ACAAAUCACAGACCCAGCCAUGUCGUUGCAUGGCUCCAUAUUUUAAUGAAGUCUGCAAUCAAAACCAUCCUCAUUUUUUUAUCAUGUUUGUUCCAAUGAGAUGUCUCUCAUUUCUUCCCUCUUUUUAUUUUAUUUCGUUGACGUUGUCGAGUACAAUUUUCUUCUUACGAGAAUUGAACAUUUUGGAAACAAUAAAUCCAUCAUUUCUGUCCCAUGCACCCUCUUGCUCUCCCUCAAAUUCAUGGCCACGUAUGUGCAUAGACACGUAUAUACAUUUAUUCCGAAAUACAUGAGUACAACCUGCUCAAGAUUUAGCAGAGAGUAGCAUACACGUGCAGUUAGUGAUAAACCACAACAGGAGCAGCCACAACAACACCGAUUGGCCUCGCAUGACGACAUGACCAUGACAUACACCACAGGAAGGACAAGUCCCAGGGAGAAGCCAGCCUUCCAGGAAUAAGAGACAAGAUGCAGGCCAUUUGAAAGGACACACUAAUCAUGCUCAUUCCUGUAUAAUAUGCAAGCAUGUCAUUGAAAGUUUCCAAGUGAUAAACUCAAGGUCUCAAACAAAGAAGUUGUAGGAGUCUGUAAGGCUACGUAUUCUAAACAGCAGCCUCAUUCUAAGGGGCUUCCUGACGUACCAUCCAGCUUGCUGAUGGGAAACAAGGUGUCUAGGGGUACUUGGCUCUGUGGUAUUACCAUCUUCAUGUAAACUGGUUUCCCUAAAGAUAUGCUACCACGUAGACGCCAUGGUAUUUUUACAACGGAACUGUCAUGUAUGAAAGUCAGGGUGAGAGUACAGCAGUCGUCAGCUGGCAAACUGAGAAAGGAUGACGACACUGCCUAGAGUACUACCUACCGGAACAGCAGCAAGGAGAAUGGCUUUGUCUACGGCCACAUUUCUGCCUUAGGCCUAGUCUUGUCCAGGCUGCCUCACUUCAGUGGUACUUAGAGGUUUUUAUGCAAUUCAUAUCAAAUCUUUCGCUCCCUCCCUGUCUACCCCAGGGCCUACAAGUCCCAAUAUUCUCUGAAAGUACUCCAAACACUGGUAUUUUUUAGAUUUAAGGCAUUACUUGUGGAUCGCUUCAGGACGAUCAUUGGUAGAUUAUGGAAAAACCAAAAACUGGUGACUGCGACUCAGGAACUCAGGAAUGACACUCAGCUACAAAGUCACUCCACUAGCCACCAGCGGCCCCUCACCAUGCAAAUGCCCAAACGGGCUUAAACUGUGAGCUACUUCAGCGGUAGGCCUGAUUUGCUUUGUGAAUCAUCUUCAAUCUUGCUGCAUACUCGGAAACAGUUCUUUUCAACGCUGGCGAGCUCAGCCAAUCUUUCUCCAGGGAAGCCAAGGAGCGUGAGAGGCUGCAUAAGGUAAUUUCCAUUUCAAUGAAAAUCACUGCCUAGACCGACUGGAGAUUUCCACUCAGCCUUCCAGUCUGAGGCAUACAUUGAAAACACCAAGUGGGCUGCUAGCAGGACUCUCCUCUCCCCGGUGCGUCAAGAGCAGAGAAGUGUCCCUGCUUCCGGAUUAGCAAGUCCCACUUCAGUGUGAUUCAUCUGGAAGGCUCCCAGGCUUCAAUGGAGUCUUAUCCUUCUGGAACAGAACGCCAGAAAUGGUCUUCAUUCCGUAAGUUGCUCUUGGUCAUGAUGUCUUAUCUUAGCAACAGGAAAGUAACUAAUAAAAUCAUUUUGAGAGUACGAGGGCAUUUUUAUUCCAAUAAUGUUUUAAAAGAUCAUGGAGAGCUGAAGAGUUAGAUGGUUCAGCAAGUAAAGGCUGCCAAGGCUGAUGACCUUAUGACCUGAAUUUGACCCCCAGGACCCAUAAGAUGGAAAGGGAAACAACUGCUACCUAUUGUCCUCUGACCUCAAUAUACACAACAUGGUAAAAGGUGUGCCCAUACGUAUAUGCACACACAAAUAAAAGUGGAAAAUAUCAAAGAUCAUUGAAUUACAUUAGCCUUCUGUGCUACCAAGACUAAUAAUCCAUUGUAAGGACAUGAUGUAGGCCUGGGGACAUGGCUUGGUGGCAGAGCGCUUGCCUGGUAUGUGUAAACCUCUAUAAGGAGUAAAUUCUAUAUAGCUGACAAAGAUUAUAUAUAUAUAUGUGUGUGUGUGUGUGUGUGUGUGUACAUUACAUAUACAUAAUAUAUUACGUAAUAUAUAUGUAUAUGUAUAUAUAUGAUAUAUAUCAUAUAUAUAUAAAAUUGUUUGGAAAAACUUGUACCUAAUCACUUAGUACCUAAUCAAUUAUUUAGUUCCUAAAUACUUAAUGUCAUAUUUUGCCAGCAUUUUGCCACAGGGUCUAAAAUUUAUGUGUCAAAGAAGAGAAUGAAUUUACUUCAACCUUAAAUAGUAUACUAGUAUAAGCCUGAACUAUAAUUAAUAUUGUAAGCUAAUCAAUGGGUAAAAUUAUAUGGCGAGUGGGAAGAAAUGAACCGGGCAGAAUUUUAAACCCAUGUUGCAUAGAUGAAGCAAAAAUCUGAGCUGAUAAUAUUUAUGUAACUAAAUGAGACUGAUUUUACUUCAAGGAUGGCUAAAAAUUUCCCAUGGUAAGUUACACAAGCUAUAAACCUUAUAUAUUUUUAGUCCCUGGCAACUCUUUUCUUGAAGGUUCAGUGGAUACUGUUUAUGCCAAAGCCAAUUCUUUCUCUGCAUGCUAGAGGAAAUCUACUGCGCGAACUUCUUUGAGCACGUCUGCGUGAGUACACUGGCUCGAUCUCAUCAACGUUGCCAUGGCAACUCUAGCUAAUUGGGCCUUGGCUCCAUGUUUAAGGGUAAAGAAAGGUGAAUCCAAACAAGAAGGACUAAGUUUUUACAGAAAUCAAAAACCAGAAUGAGUGUUGGGGAGUGUUUGAUAAUAGGCUGUGAGAAAUUCCAAAUUAAGACACAAAGGAAAGACGUGUUUUAAAUAUGUCAAACACCUAAAAUAUAAUUAAUGGGAAGUUAGACACAGUGGCACAGCCCUGUAAACCCAGCACUCAGGUAGGUAAGGUGAGAGGUAGGUAAUGUGUGUGUGUGUGUGUGUGUAUACAUAUAUAUGUGUGUGUGUGUGUGUGUGUAUAUAUAUAUAUAUAUAUAUAUAUAUAUAUAUAUAUAUAUAUAUAUUACAAUACAAUACAAUGAAAAUGAAAAAGCUCACUCCUGGCCUCCACCCUGAGGCAUUGGGGGGGGGGGGGGCAGUGCACACCUUUCACUCAUUCAACUCAUUCAGUUUACCAGGGAACAGUGUGGAAUGAACAGUGGUCAAGAAGGGCACACUGGGGACCUACCCAGCAUCCAAAAGCAGCAUCUCAGACCUGCAAGUUACCUUCCUUCUCUAUGAUCGUGUGGUCUGGAGACCCCCUUGUAUAGGGGACAGUGCUAUACAAAGAGAUGGUAUCUACUUUUUAAGGAGACAGAACUCUCCGCAAAGGAUGAAGGAGGCCCAAGAUGUUGGAGUUGGGGGGAAAGCAUCAAGCUGAUGGACAGAAACCAGUUGGUACCCAGACAACCCUCCUCAUGAGGGGCCUUUCCAGAGCUGCACCUAGCAACCAGAGCCCCACCCACACAUGUACAACAGCCGGACGAAAGGAUUCUUGUUCGCCUGACAAGAUACUGGUGCUGUGUGAAACCACCCUCAGGAGGCUUGACAGUGUUGCUCUCUUCUGGGCCUUGGAAACCUUUCUUUGCUUUUUUUUCUUUGGGACAUGAACAUGUGACUCAGGUACACAUUUGAAAAAAGCGGGGGGAAGGACCUACCCAAUGAAAUGCCUGGGGCCCAUGAUGGAUUCAGUCCUAACCUGUAGGAUGAUGUCAUACAAGUGAAGGCAGAUACAAGAUAGAACGAGGCCUGUCAUUGGACAAGAAGGAAGGAUGGGCGGGAGAAAAGUUUGAGGGAAGAGGAGGAGACUGGAACGGAAGGAGACUGGAGAGAGGAAGCUGCGGAGAGAACCUGGGAGCUGGCGUUAAGAUUCUACUCUGCCUAUUUACAGGUUGUUAUGAAUAUUCUUAAGGGAUGGAUGUGCACAGGGCUUUGUAUGUUUAGGUGGGCAAUUAUAUCUUAUCAACUGGAUCAGAGGUUAUUGUGUUGCGUGUUCUUUCUUAUGGCAAUUUAAGUUCAAGGUGGCGGCUGGGACACCAAACUGCCACAGAAUUAGGAUGUAUAUUUCUGCCAUGGUGGCAACCUGCCUUGGGAACUGGAUGGGUAGAGAGAUUGCUGCCUGGCUCAGAGAGAAGCCUUCGGCAGUGUGAUGUGGGAUGGAGCAAAGCGAGUGAGAGGCUUUGCUGACUGAGAUUAAGAUAUCUACCAGAUACCAUGGGGCACUACGGUGCAGUACCUAGAGUGGGUUAAAAGAUAGCCUGUUAUUUUUUUUUUAUAAUUUUACACUGACCACUGUAUAUUUGCUGGAACUCAGAUGUCCCAUAAGGGAUAGAAGUCAAAACUUUAAUCAAUGAGAUAGUCUCUGAUCACAAAGGACUUGUAGUCCUUCCGCCAAAAGCUAGUCUGCUCGAACUACACCACAGUUACUUUUAAGUAAAAAGCAUUUGCAUUAUUCUUCUGCUAAAAAUAAAUAAAUGAAUGAAUAAAUAAAUAAGCAAAAGAUUUAUACGAUCUGAAGAGAGUACUACUGAGCUGCUUAGAACAACAUAACUAUGAAAUUCACAAAUACACAGACGGAGAAACAGUAGAUGGAAAUACUCAUUCUGAAUGAAGUGACCCAGAUCCACAUUCUUCUCUCACUGGUGGCCAGGAGCACUGAGUCUUCAAAUAUGUUCCAUUUGGAAUACCCACACAGGUUAGGAUAUUAGCAAGGGUCAUGGGGCGGGGCUGGGGUGGGGGCGGGGGGAGUCCUCCCAAGGGAAUGGAGACAGAAACAGUGGCGUGAAGGGAUACAGGAGAAUGAUGGGAGGUUGAAUUAGGAUGGGAGAGGAGAGGGAAGGGUCCUGGACAAAAAAACAUGGGGAGAUAACUAACACUAAAGACAUUUUUGAAAAUGUCAUAUGAAACUUACUACUGUAGAAGCUUCCUAAACCCACACCCACGCACACACACACCUCACAAAGAGUGUCAGUGCAGUUACCCUAUAAUAAGUCAACAAUGUCCCUACUAUUUUCCACAAGCUAACAAAAAGUUCAGUACCAGAGACGAGUGACCUCUUUUGGAGUUAUUGGGGGACUUAAGGUCUCAGAGACCCCACCCCCCAAACAUCACAGGCUAGUGUCCAUCAGAGGUCUGCAAAUGGCCGAGUUGCAGAGAAGGGACUAUAAAGUGCUCCCCGCUAAGUGGGAAGUCUGCCAGGCCCCGCCAUGCAAGGCUUACAGACCAUUGCAGAAAGUGAGAAGGAAAUACCGCAAGAGCCGGAGCGACAACGAAGAAACUGGUUCCUGGACACGGCAAGCAUCUGCACAUGCAAGCUUACAGCCAUCGCGGCAGUACGCACAAGACCUGUACAAGCUCAAGCCAGAUAAAUCCCAGCAUGGAGCGGGAGCCGGGGCCCCCUAGCUGAGGGGAUAUUGGCAAUCAGUAGCUUGUAGGAGAGGGGAAGCCAGUUCCCUCUAAGGAUGUGGCCUGUUGGAGGCUGACUAGGCUCUAGUGGAAAAACCAUAUGCCCAAGAGCGUGUAGGCAGCACAAAGUUAGUUAUCGAGUUAGGCAGGUAGAGAGAGGAGGGGUAGGUCUGGGAGGUUCUCAGAGAAUAAAGAUAUAUAGGGGGGUGGAAAAGCAAGACUGGAACAAAUGAAGCAUUCCCAGUAUCCGAAGCUGGACGUUCUCUUAGGAGGGGAAGGCUAUUCACCAAUCCUUAGCCAUCCCACAGUCUGAGAGCUAAGGUAUCACGUCAGCAUGGGAACAGAGGGAUGGACACAAGCAUGCUGGGACAAUCUGGACAAAAGCAGGCACGCAGAAAGCCCACCCCUCAGCAGUGAGGACUUGAGGCGUGUUAAGAAUUCAUAAAACAUGGCAUCCUGUCCCUGGGCUGAGAUAUUCAGAAGGGAAGCCUGCCACCUUGAUACCCCUGAGUCCAGGAAGCCCAGUUAACCUGCUGCCCAGGUUAUCUCCGGGCUGGCUAAAGUCCAGCUCCACCCAAGCCAGGCCAAUGAGUCAGCUCUCCUCAGUCCCCUCAUGUUCCCUCCUGAAGCAGUCCGAAGUUCUUGCCAUAAGACUUAGCUCAUGGGCAGAAUUGGCUCUCGUUUGGUCUGAGGAUUUCCUUGAUGGUGAAUUUCAUUUACCAUAAAAAGAUGUAAUUAAGCUGCAUGUAUGGAUUUCCGAGUUUAAAUAAUCAGUUCCUUCUCUCUGGAUGCUCUGAGUGUCCUGUGUGGUGUGUGGAAAGGUGCUAUUUACAGAAGGAAGAUUGCACUUCUCGGACAUUCCAGGAGCCUCGUUCUCCCCUUCAUGACCCACCCCACCUAUAUUUGUGCUAGACCGAAGUAAAUGUGCAAACAGCACCCAUAAAAAGCAGCUGAAGGUGCACAUUCUUCAGCUCCAAUUAAGCCGGGAAAGCCUGGUUCACAGCUGCUUCUAUUCCUGAAAAUGUUUUCAUAAUAAACAGUGGAGCUUAAGAGCCAUUCCGUUCCCCGUCACCACAUUCUACAGUGUACGCCAACA
Molecule: non-coding RNA, 6581 nt
Organism: Rattus norvegicus (Norway rat)
Lineage: Eukaryota; Metazoa; Chordata; Mammalia; Rodentia; Muridae
Source: RefSeq, a predicted model, not a curated record